AGGAUCUCUCACAUCUCUGCAAUGGUCUGGUCCACUUGGCCACAUACCAGAAAUUAUACAUCUUUACGGAUCGAAAAAAACAUAGACAGUGAUUCCCCCAAAUGACUCAACUCCCACUACAAGCUCUACAGAAAUUGGCAACAUUUUCUCUAAUAAAAAAGGAAGUGAUGAAUUAUAUAUCCCCCCUAACCUGCACCCUCUCACGCUACAACAUGCUCAUUCAACAGGGAGCUGAACUGUGUACAGACAACAAUCAUCGCAUGACAGUCUCUCUCCCUGCUGUAAGAACGCUUCUACUGAAAGCCUAGCUCAACUAUCACGCUGUCUCUAAUGUGAUAAUAACAUUCAAAUCGAGCUGUAUGAUUCACAUAAUUAGAAUUGCUUAUACGCACCACAACACUUUCCUUGGAUAAAGUAAAUCUCUGAAAUGUUGCUCUUUGUGUUUUUUACAAUGCGCUCUAAUAUAAAUGUAAUAAAAGUGUAAAAUGGA
Molecule: long non-coding RNA, 490 nt
Organism: Pelobates fuscus (common spadefoot toad)
Lineage: Eukaryota; Metazoa; Chordata; Amphibia; Anura; Pelobatidae
Exons: 3
Source: RefSeq, a predicted model, not a curated record